GUGCCAGCAGCCGCGGUAAUACGGAGGGUGCAAGCAUUAAUCGGAAUUAUUGGGCGUAAAGGGCGCGUAGGCGGAAGAGUAUGUCAAAUGUGAAAUCCCAAGGCUCAACCUUGGACCUGCAUUUGAAACUGCUUUUCUAGAGGGUAGGCGGAGAAAACGGAAUUCCACGUGUAGCGGUGAAAUGCGUAGAUAUGUGGAAGAACACCAGUGGCGAAGGCGGUUUUCUAGCUUAUAACCUGACGCUGAGGCGCGAAAGCAAGGGGAGCAAACAGGAUUAGAUACCCUGGUAGUCCUUGCCGUAAACGAUGCAUACUUGAUGUAGUUGGGCUCAACCCUGACUGUGUCGAAGCGAACGCGAUAAGUAUGCCGCCUGAGGAGUACGUCCGCAAGGAUAAA
This 396-nucleotide ribosomal RNA is filed under the name uncultured bacterium. Its description in RNAcentral is "bacterial SSU rRNA". It matches the Rfam family "Bacterial small subunit ribosomal RNA", at positions 505 to 898 of the family's 1533-position model. The record is from RNAcentral.